Molecule: ribosomal RNA, 301 nt
Filed under: uncultured bacterium
Lineage: Bacteria
Description: partial 16S ribosomal RNA
Rfam family: Bacterial small subunit ribosomal RNA
Source: RNAcentral
CAGCCGCCGCGGGAAUACAGAGGAUGCAAGCGUUAUCCGGAAUGAUUGGGCGUAAAGCGUCUGUAGGUGGCUUUUCAAGUCCGCCGUCAAAUCCCAGGGCUCAACCCUGGACAGGCGGUGGAAACUACCAAGCUAGAGUACGGUAGGGGCAGAGGGAAUUUCCGGUGGAGCGGUGAAAUGCGUUGAGAUCGAAAAGAACACCAACGACGAAAGCACUCUGCUGGGUCGACACUGACACUGAGAGACGAAAGCUAGGGGAGCAAAUGGGAUUAGAUACCCCCGUAGUCCCUGUCUCUUAUAC